Long non-coding RNA from Gossypium arboreum, 394 nucleotides. RefSeq lists it as uncharacterized. The transcript has 2 exons. The record is from RefSeq and is a predicted model, not a curated record. NCBI's taxonomy places the organism in Eukaryota, Viridiplantae, Streptophyta, Magnoliopsida, Malvales, Malvaceae.
AUAAAAAUAUUGAAUACUUCUACUUGUAUUCGUUAAGCUUAAGAGCAAAGGGGAGCUAAAUCCGAUAAAGGGAAGGAAAAAGUGGUCGAAUAGCCGUUGAAGCCGUCCGACGACAUCCGAGAUUUUGCUCGUUAGCGAUCGGAUUCGGGAUCAUUAAAGUCGAAGUCAUCUACACUAUCAAAGCCUCCAUUUUGGUAUAAUUUUGGUUGAACUUUGAAAUGGCAUGUAUAGGACUACCCUAUUGUUGAAGGUCAUGUACCUUUCGGUUUUGUGUAAGCUUGGAUAGCCAUGCGAAAAUGGCUUAUAUCGUUUUAGUAUGAUUCUAUAAUCGUUUGUAUGAUGAUCAUUAUGGGGUAUGGAAUUGUUUGAAAAGAUUAGCCAUUGGAAUGGUUAA